Long non-coding RNA from Drosophila gunungcola (fruit fly), 1524 nucleotides. RefSeq lists it as uncharacterized. The record is from RefSeq and is a predicted model, not a curated record. The transcript has 2 exons. Lineage: Eukaryota; Metazoa; Arthropoda; Insecta; Diptera; Drosophilidae.
CUGAACUUUUAUCUGGACUUUACUUAGGCAAAAUUUUUGAGGGAACUGGUUGGGUUUACAAUUGAAACUGCGAUAAUCCCAGUAGAUUAUAAAGCGUUACGAUCGGCUGCCUAGUGGGAGCUGUCCGUUCUGGAGGCAAUGAUGAUGAUGAUGGCGACGACUAUCUAAUGACAAUUGGCAUUGGCCAAGCUCAAGUCACACCAAACUCGGUGGCCAACUAGUGUGACACAAUUGCCACAUAUCCAAUGACAAUAUUAGCAGUAGACACAAAAACGGGGGCCAAGAACAAAAGUCGUUAGGAUUUUGAAAUGGAAACCACCAAGUUGUAGUGGUCCAAGAGCAAGAGCAAGAGCAAAUCUCGGACUAGACCUGCAAUCCGUAACUAGAACUCAACUUGGAACUUGAACUGGAUCUGGACCUGCACAUAAUUGGCAAUUGUCUAGUCCGUAAAGACCUCCAAUGCUCCAUCUCCAUUUCCAUUACCAUUACCAUUACCAUUACCGAGCUCUUUGGCCAGCCUCCCAGCCAGCCAGCCAGCGAACAAACUAACUCUAACUCAUCGGCCCAGACUGCGAUUCCGAGAUCACCUGAGAUCACCUGAGAUCACUGGUAACGAGGUCAAGACGCACACACAGCAGGAACCAGGCCACGGCGAGCAACUGGAGCACAUAGCGGGGGACAACUGUGCGGAUCCCUUGAUGCAAAAAUCCCCUGGCGUUCAAGUAAUGGAGGAUUGUGCAAAAAAUAUACCCCAUUGAAUUGGCUAAAGAUACAUGUUAGCUUUUAAUUAGAUUAAUACAAUAACUAUUAAUCAUAGUUUAGCUUUUAAAUACCACGCCUGAACAGGCCUAAAAAACAGGAACAGUUAAUGAGCUAAAGGCAGUAAUCCAAUAUCUGUGGGCUUAACUGUGGCGAAACGCACUGUCUUUGGCACUGAAGAACUCCGCCGGCAGAGGGCAUAAUUGAUAUGCGACACGCACACGGCGAUGGAUCACUCCAAUUUAUGCAUCGAACGACCAGGAAAACAAAUCCAAACUUCGAGUUGGACUCGGUUGGACUUUGUCUUGGUGGACCUGCCUAAAGGAGUGGGAGAUGGAGAUGGAGAUGGGGCGACUUUGAGGCGUUGAUGUCAACGUGCCACCUCCAUAAACAACUCAAUUCGAUCGUGAGUCUGGCCACGUUAUUACGAAUCGGUUCAAUCAACUGCUCCCCACUCUGUGUACUAUGUACCAUAUAUACAUACGUAUGCCACACUCCUUACUUUGCCGCCCGAUCUGUUUUGAUAGCAGGCACGUGAUCUGCAGACGAAACGCUGGCGAACCAAAUCUGAAUGGAGAAUUUAUGAAUGGAGCACUCGGCUCAAGUUGGAGCUCGGUUUUAUAGUUUGGUUCACUCCAGUUCAGCUGGGUUCUACGAUGUGCGUGAGCGUGUAUGCACUGAAACAAAAAAUUUAUAAACGGCUAACUUUCAAUAACCUAGACCUUAAAGUCAUAAGAAGGCAAAAAGCUCAAAAUAAAAGAAAAA